AAAAGCUGUAUUAUAUUUACAUUUAAUAAUAUCAGUCUUUGAGCAUUGUAGCCCAAGUUAAACGAAAAAUAUCGAUUUUUAAACGAUAAUGUUCUUUCAAGAAAAUUGUCUGAACAUAAUUUCGAUCUCUUGAAAAUUCUAUAUGAUAUAAGUUCAGUAUUUACAUUUUUUUUCUCACCGUUGAAAUAAUGUUUACGAUUUUACUUCCAUUUGUGCGCGCGCAAAAAUUUUAUAUCGUAUUUUUUGUCAACAAUGAAUGAAAUAAUGACGUUAAAUAACGUUUAAUAAUCAACGUUUAAACUGUAACGUUUAUUUAACGUUGAAAUAACGUUAAAUAAUCAACGUUUAAACGGUAACGUUGAUUUAACGUUGUGACAUAGUUGAACAACGUUGAAACAACGCUUCAACCGAAUUUCAACGUUAAAACAACGUAAUAAUGCCAGCUGGGAUUCUUAUGACAAAAAUUGUUUUAAAGGUGUAAAACGUUAAUAAUUUUGAAAAAAAUUCUCGUCCUCCCCAUUUUACCACUUCCUCCUUCAUAUCUUACUUCGGGUAACAACUAUUUUUACAAAAAUAUAUGUUUAAAUGUUAGUUUAGAUCUUAAAGAUUAUUUUAAAACAAUAAUUUUUUUUUUGUUUAAUAAUUAAACAAAAAAAAAAAUUAAAACGUAAACGUUUUCAAGAAUGAUUAUUUUAAAUUUUCAUAAGUUGGCUAAAAUUAAAUACUCUCGAUUCAUUAUUACUAGGUGUAAAAGUAAAAAUACCUACGCUUUUUAAUUUAUUUAUCUAACAUUUUAUAAUAUUUUUUUAAUUUAGUGUUUCUUUACUUUUAUAAUUAACCCACUGCCCUCCCAUCUCAUAUACGCCAUUUGCAGACCACCUCUUUCCCUCCGAGCGUACGUACUAUAUGGACGAUCCUUUUUCAAAGAAUUUUUAUUUUUUAUUUUUGAGGUAUAAAGUUUAUGUUAACAGUUUUAUAACAAGCAAAAUAAAUAAACAAAGGGGGUCUUUAUAAGCUUGGGGUGGAUUGGAAAAUUUUCAAAAAAUAAUUAAACGUUCAACCCCUCCUUUUAUUAAGGACUCGAGAGUACAUUAUAAAUCAGUCAAAACUAUUAUUAUUAUUAAAGUUAUUCACUAAUAUAUCAUGCACUUACUUCAUCACGCAUCAUAUUAUUAAUCACUAAUAUUGUAUGCGUGGGCUUCACCGAUCAUAUUUUGUAAAAUCAAUUCACCCAAAGCGUCAAUAAUGACACAUAUAAUGAUUGUGACAUAUAAAUACAUAAUACAGUCAUUAUUUCUAAAAUCAAUUGAUGUUUCACGUCAUUUGAUUUUACAAAGAAUGAUUGUAUCAUGUUUCUACAUAAUCAUAUUUUGUAAUUGUAUUAUGUAUAUAAUCAAAUUUUGUAAUUAUUAUAUUUUUUUAUAGUCAUAUUUUCAAAAAUCAAUUGACGCUUCACGUCAAUUAAUUUUACAAAAUAUGAUUGGUUGUUAUUUAUUUAAGCCCAUGCAUAUUUCUAGUUAAUAAAUCAAUAUAAAAGAGCAGGUUUCUAUUUUUCCAGUUAACAAACAACGAAGAGAUAUAACUUCUAAAAUUUUUUAUCGCAAUGAUUGCGUCUCUGGUAUUCAUUUUAUUAAUAGUAAGCUCUGCGUGUUUACAUAAAAAUCCAAAUGUCAUUUCUUUGAAAGAGGAUUCCGGUUUAUCCAUCGAAGAUCAAAAAGAGACCGCUACUGUAAAAGACCCAACUGUGAAUGAAAAGCGAUUGUUUGAUUGUGAUCACAACUGCUGGUACAAUAAUUGGAAACACCGUGACCAGAGAGCAAAAAACGAAAAUAUGUUUAAUCGCCGUUGCUCGUAUGCCCAUUGGUUUGGUAGAUGCUACUGCUAUGGUCCUCCUCGCUGCUAAUUUUUCAACGUUGUUAAAAUUUUUUUGUAUCACAUAAUUUAAUACAUUUAGAUGUAUAAUUAUAUAGAUACAUCUAUUAUAUUUGAAAA
Hydra vulgaris (swiftwater hydra) is the source of this 1992-nucleotide long non-coding RNA. RefSeq lists it as uncharacterized. NCBI's taxonomy places the organism in Eukaryota, Metazoa, Cnidaria, Hydrozoa, Anthoathecata, Hydridae. The record is from RefSeq and is a predicted model, not a curated record.